This 492-nucleotide ribosomal RNA is filed under the name uncultured bacterium. RNAcentral describes it as "partial 16S ribosomal RNA". It matches the Rfam family "Bacterial small subunit ribosomal RNA", at positions 29 to 507 of the family's 1533-position model. The record is from RNAcentral.
AGUGAACGCUGGCGGUAGACCUAACACAUGCAAGUCGAACGGCAGCACAGUAAGAGCUUGCUCUUACGGGUGGCGAGUGGCGGACGGGUGAGGAAUACAUCGGAAUCUACUUUUUCGUGGGGGAUAACGUAGGGAAACUUACGCUAAUACCGCAUACGACCUACGGGUGAAAGCAGGGGAUCUUCGGACCUUGCGCGAUUGAAUGAGCCGAUGUCGGAUUAGCUAGUUGGCGGGGUAAAGGCCCACCAAGGCGACGAUCCGUAGCUGGUCUGAGAGGAUGAUCAGCCACAGUGGAACUGAGACACGGUCCAGACUCCUACGGGAGGCAGCAGUGGGGAAUAUUGGACAAUGGGCGCAAGCCUGAUCCAGCCAUACCGCGUGGGUGAAGAAGGCCUUCGGGUUGUAAAGCCCUUUUGUUGGGAAAGAAAAGCAGCAGGUUAAUACCCCGCUGUUCUGACGGUACCCAAAGAAUAAGCACCGGCUAACUUCGUG